GUGAGGAAUAUUGCGCAAUGGAGGCAACUCUGACGCAGCCAUGCCGCGUGCAGGAAGAAGGCGCUACGCGUUGUAAACUGCUUUUAACCGGGAAGAAACCCCAGGACGUGUCCUGGGUUGACGGUACCGGAGGAAUAAGCACCGGCUAACUUCGUGCCAGCAGCCGCGGUAAUACGAAGGGUGCAAGCGUUAUCCGGAUUCAUUGGGUUUAAAGGGUGCGUAGGCGGAGCGUUAAGACAGUGGUGAAAUCCUGCAGCUUAACUGUAGACUUGCCAUUGAUACUGGCGCUCUUGAGUGCGCUUGAAGUGGGCGGAAUGUGCCGUGUAGCGGUGAAAUGCUUAGAUAUGGCACAGAACACCAAUUGCGAAGGCAGCUCACUAAGGCGAUACUGACGCUGAGGCACGAAAGCGUGGGGAUCGAACAGGAUUAGAAACCCUUGUAGUCC
RNAcentral lists this ribosomal RNA (445 nucleotides) under uncultured bacterium. RNAcentral's name for it is "partial 16S ribosomal RNA". It matches the Rfam family "Bacterial small subunit ribosomal RNA", at positions 354 to 796 of the family's 1533-position model. The record is from RNAcentral.